This 148-nucleotide non-coding RNA is filed under the name Chlorocebus sabaeus (green monkey). Lineage: Eukaryota; Metazoa; Chordata; Mammalia; Primates; Cercopithecidae. The record is from Rfam by way of RNAcentral.
GCCAGGCAUGGUAGUGCAUGCCUGUAGUCCCAGCUACUUAGGAGGCUGAGGUGGGAGGAUCACUUGAGCCCGGGAGGUGGAGGCUGCAGUGAGCUGUGAUUGUGCCACUGCACUCCAGCCUGAGCGACAGAGCGAGACCCUGUCUCUA